Long non-coding RNA from Labeo rohita (rohu), 1072 nucleotides. RefSeq lists it as uncharacterized. The record is from RefSeq and is a predicted model, not a curated record. The transcript has 4 exons. Lineage: Eukaryota; Metazoa; Chordata; Actinopteri; Cypriniformes; Cyprinidae.
GUGUCAGUGAUGGAAGGAGAUUCAGUCACUCUACACACUUAUGUUGAUACAAACCAACAAGGCAGAAUGAGGUGGUAUUUUAAUGAUAUUUACAUCACUGAAAUAAGUAAAGAUCCCAGUAAUGUCUGUACAGAUGAUCAGUGUAAUGAGAGAUUCAGAGACAGACUGAAGCUGGAUCAUCAGACUGGUUCUCUGACCAUCACAAACAUCAACACCACAGACUCUGGAGUUUAUAGACUACAGAUCAUCAACAGCAGAACCAGUCAAAAGGUCUUCAUUGUUGCUGUAUAUGGUGUUCCUGCUGAUGAACGAGAUGAAAUGAAGAGAAAGUCAGUGAAGAAGGGAGAAUCUGUUAGGAUAGAUCCUGCUGUAAUAAAAAAACCCAAAUGAUUUGAUGAAAUGGUAUUUUAAUGACAUUCCUAUUGCUGAAAUCACUGGAGAUCAGAGUAAGACCUGUACAGAUGUACAGUGUAAAGAAAGAUUUAGAGACAGACUGGAGCUGAAUAAUCAAACUGGAUCUUUGACCAUCACAAACACCAGAACCACAGACUCUGGACCCUACAAUCUAGAGAUUACCAGCUGUAGCAGCAACAUCAGUAUCAGUGUCAUUAAAAGUUUCAUUGUUACUGUCACUGGUUCAGGUCUGUCUUCAGCUGAGCAACAAUAUGUGUCUCUGCUGUUGUUCAGCUGUUUGUUGCUAAAGCUACUGGUUUAAUUUACUGCCACAACCCUAAGGAAGAGAACAGUCUCCAGUAGUCUCCAGCUCUGCAUCUCCUGAUGAGUGACUCAUCUGAAUGCUUCUGAUUGGCCACUGCAUUUCUAAGCUUAACAGAAUUGUGUGUGAUUAUUUAUAAUGCACAACACUGUAAAAACUUCUAAAAAAAAUUACAGAGCAACGUGAGCAACAUGAUCUUAUAAUGCCGGAAUCAACACUUUCUAUUCAUUUUCACUUUGUUAAUAACAGAUGUAAUAGAUUUAAUUUGUUUGUGCAGGGGCAUUUUUGUUCAAUUUAGUGCCAUUUUUCCCCCUAAGUCCCUGUGACCAGCCUUAUACACACUCCACCUAAGCGCCU